UGUAUCUGAAGCCUGAAGAGGAUGAGAACCUCCGGGGGCAAGAGGUUCGACCCGAGCGAAGCGAGAGAACGUUGCGUCAGCAACGGCCCGCAGGGCGAGCCACGCAGUGGCGAGUCAUCCUCUAUCACCGACCA
Molecule: small RNA, 134 nt
Filed under: Salmonella enterica
Lineage: Bacteria; Pseudomonadati; Pseudomonadota; Gammaproteobacteria; Enterobacterales; Enterobacteriaceae
Also listed under: 9 other names
Description: RtT sRNA
Rfam family: RtT RNA
About the family: This family represents a bacterial cis-regulatory element known as RtT RNA. The exact function of RtT is unknown although it is thought that it may be involved in changing the cellular response in relation to amino acid starvation.
Source: RNAcentral